UAGAAAACUGGUGUCUCCACCCAACUCCAGUUCUGAGGUCUCCCUUUUGGGCCUCUUUCACUAACCACAUUUCUUUAAACAUAAUCAGAGCUAACCCUUCUCUAAUUAGACUCGGACAAGCUACUUGAGCCCUGGAAACAAGAUCCAGGGGAAAAAAAAUCCGGGCCUUUUGUGAACAGCUGAUUAUGAUCUCCUGUGGAGCCUGCUAGAAGGGGCUUCUCUGCUGGCUCAACAGUAAAGAAUCUGCCUGCAAUGCAGGAAACAAUCCCUGGAUCACGAAGAUCUGGAGAAGGAAACCCACUCCAGUAUUCUUCCUGGGAAAUACCACAGACAGAGGAGCCUGGUAGGCAUGAGAGGCUAAUAGGAGAACUAAGGAGCUGCUUCAGGAGUUCCAGUGUAAGAUGAUGAAGGUCUGGACUGGAAGUAGAGGUAGCAACUUUUCAGUCUAGUACAAUACCCUCUUUCAUGGGUUGAGAUGAUGAUACAUCUAUCUUCCACAAAA
Dama dama (fallow deer) is the source of this 502-nucleotide long non-coding RNA. RefSeq lists it as uncharacterized. The record is from RefSeq and is a predicted model, not a curated record. Lineage: Eukaryota; Metazoa; Chordata; Mammalia; Artiodactyla; Cervidae. The transcript is spliced from 3 exons.